AACGAACGCUGGCGGCAUGCCUAACACAUGUAAGUCGAACGAGACCUUCGGGUCUAGUGGCGCACGGGUGCGUAACGCGUGGGAACCUGCCCUUAGGUUCGGAAUAACUCCCCGAAAGGGGUGCUAAUACCGGAUAAUGUCUUCGGACCAAAGAUUUAUCGCCUUUGGAUGGGCCCGCGUUGGAUUAGCUUGUUGGUAGGGUAAAAGCCUACCAAGGCGACGAUCCAUAGCUGGUCUGAGAGGAUGAUCAGCCACACUGGGACUGAGACACGGCCCAGACUCCUACGGGAGGCAGCAGUGGGGAAUAUUGGACAAUGGGCGAAAGCCUGAUCCAGCAAUGCCGCGUGAGUGAUGAAGGCCUUAGGGUUGUAAAGCUCUUUUACCCGGGAUGAUAAUGACAGUACCGGGAGAAUAAGCUCCGGCUAACUCCGUG
RNAcentral lists this ribosomal RNA (433 nucleotides) under uncultured bacterium. Its description in RNAcentral is "partial 16S ribosomal RNA". It matches the Rfam family "Bacterial small subunit ribosomal RNA", at positions 29 to 507 of the family's 1533-position model. The record is from RNAcentral.